Molecule: ribosomal RNA, 253 nt
Filed under: uncultured bacterium
Lineage: Bacteria
Description: partial 16S ribosomal RNA
Rfam family: Bacterial small subunit ribosomal RNA
Source: RNAcentral
UACGUAGGUGGCAAGCGUUAUCCGGAAUUAUUGGGCGUAAAGCGCGCGCAGGCGGUUUCUUAAGUCUGAUGUGAAAGCCCCCGGCUCAACUGGGGAGGGUCACUCGAUACUGAUCGACUUGAAGGCAGGAGAGGGAAGCGGAAUUCCCGGUGUAGUGGUGAAAUGCGUAGAUAUCGGGAGGAACACCAGUGGCGAAGGCGGCUUCCUGGCCUGUUCUUGACGCUGAGGCGCGAAAGCUAGGGGAGCAAACGGG